Molecule: transfer RNA, 74 nt
Filed under: Bacilli bacterium
Lineage: Bacteria; Bacillati; Bacillota; Bacilli
Description: tRNA-Trp
Rfam family: tRNA
About the family: Transfer RNA (tRNA) molecules are approximately 80 nucleotides in length. Their secondary structure includes four short double-helical elements and three loops (D, anti-codon, and T loops).
Source: RNAcentral
AGGGAAUUAGUUUAAUGGUAAAACUAUGGUCUCCAAAACCAUCGAUAAGUGUUCGAUUCGCUUAUUCCCUGCCA